RNAcentral lists this ribosomal RNA (1384 nucleotides) under Mammaliicoccus sciuri. RNAcentral's name for it is "bacterial SSU rRNA". It matches the Rfam family "Bacterial small subunit ribosomal RNA", at positions 74 to 1439 of the family's 1533-position model. The record is from RNAcentral. Lineage: Bacteria; Bacillati; Bacillota; Bacilli; Caryophanales; Staphylococcaceae.
AGAAGCUUGCUUCUCUGAUGUUAGCGGCGGACGGGUGAGUAACACGUGGGUAACCUACCUAUAAGACUGGGAUAACUCCGGGAAACCGGGGCUAAUACCGGAUAAUAUUUUGAACCGCAUGGUUCAAUAGUGAAAGACGGUUUCGGCUGUCACUUAUAGAUGGACCCGCGCCGUAUUAGCUAGUUGGUAAGGUAACGGCUUACCAAGGCGACGAUACGUAGCCGACCUGAGAGGGUGAUCGGCCACACUGGAACUGAGACACGGUCCAGACUCCUACGGGAGGCAGCAGUAGGGAAUCUUCCGCAAUGGGCGAAAGCCUGACGGAGCAACGCCGCGUGAGUGAUGAAGGUCUUCGGAUCGUAAAACUCUGUUGUUAGGGAAGAACAAAUUUGUUAGUAACUGAACAAGUCUUGACGGUACCUAACCAGAAAGCCACGGCUAACUACGUGCCAGCAGCCGCGGUAAUACGUAGGUGGCAAGCGUUAUCCGGAAUUAUUGGGCGUAAAGCGCGCGUAGGCGGUUUCUUAAGUCUGAUGUGAAAGCCCACGGCUCAACCGUGGAGGGUCAUUGGAAACUGGGAAACUUGAGUGCAGAAGAGGAGAGUGGAAUUCCAUGUGUAGCGGUGAAAUGCGCAGAGAUAUGGAGGAACACCAGUGGCGAAGGCGGCUCUCUGGUCUGUAACUGACGCUGAUGUGCGAAAGCGUGGGGAUCAAACAGGAUUAGAUACCCUGGUAGUCCACGCCGUAAACGAUGAGUGCUAAGUGUUAGGGGGUUUCCGCCCCUUAGUGCUGCAGCUAACGCAUUAAGCACUCCGCCUGGGGAGUACGACCGCAAGGUUGAAACUCAAAGGAAUUGACGGGGACCCGCACAAGCGGUGGAGCAUGUGGUUUAAUUCGAAGCAACGCGAAGAACCUUACCAAAUCUUGACAUCCUUUGACCGCUCUAGAGAUAGAGUCUUCCCCUUCGGGGGACAAAGUGACAGGUGGUGCAUGGUUGUCGUCAGCUCGUGUCGUGAGAUGUUGGGUUAAGUCCCGCAACGAGCGCAACCCUUAAGCUUAGUUGCCAUCAUUAAGUUGGGCACUCUAGGUUGACUGCCGGUGACAAACCGGAGGAAGGUGGGGAUGACGUCAAAUCAUCAUGCCCCUUAUGAUUUGGGCUACACACGUGCUACCAUUGAUAAUACCAAAGGGCAGCGAAUCCGCGAGGCCAAGCAAAUCCCAUAAAAUUAUUCUCAGUUCGGAUUGUAGUCUGCAACUCGACUACAUGAAGCUGGAAUCGCUAGUAAUCGUAGAUCAGCAUGCUACGGUGAAUACGUUCCCGGGUCUUGUACACACCGCCCGUCGCGACCACGAGAGUUUGUAACACCCGAAGCCGGUGGAGUAAC